RNAcentral lists this transfer RNA (72 nucleotides) under Pseudobythopirellula maris. It matches the Rfam family "tRNA". From Rfam's summary of the family: Transfer RNA (tRNA) molecules are approximately 80 nucleotides in length. The record is from Rfam by way of RNAcentral. Lineage: Bacteria; Pseudomonadati; Planctomycetota; Planctomycetia; Pirellulales; Lacipirellulaceae.
UCCGGAGUAGUUCAAUGGGAGAACGCCCGGCUAUUACCCGGGUGGGUGCUGGUUCGAGUCCAGCCUCCGGAC